This 256-nucleotide ribosomal RNA is filed under the name uncultured bacterium. RNAcentral's name for it is "partial 16S ribosomal RNA". It matches the Rfam family "Bacterial small subunit ribosomal RNA", at positions 524 to 776 of the family's 1533-position model. The record is from RNAcentral.
UACGUAGGAGACGAGCGUUGUCCGGAGUUACUGGGCGUAAAGGGUGCGCAGGCGGCCCGCCGCGUGUGGGGUAAAAUCUCCCGGCUCAACUGGGAGGGGGCCUUGCAGACGGGCGGGCUUGAGGGUCGCAGAGGGGCGUGGAAUUCUGUGUGGAGCGGUGAAAUGCGUUGAUCUACAGAGGAACACCAAAAAAGGCGAAGGCAGUCAACUAUUCUGUUCCUGACAUUGAGGCAUGAAAGCGUGGGGAGCAAACCGG